RNAcentral lists this unclassified non-coding RNA (263 nucleotides) under plant metagenome. Its description in RNAcentral is "partial contains small subunit ribosomal RNA, internal transcribed spacer 1, and 5.8S ribosomal RNA". The record is from RNAcentral.
UUUCCGUAGGUGAACCUGCGGAAGGAUCAUUAUUGUAUAACCGAGGUGCGAUGGCUGUCGCUGACCCGACAGUUCGUGCACGCCCGAGUGCCCUCACACACAUCCAUCUCACCCCUAUGUGCACCACCGCGUGGGUCCCCCUUUGGCUUGUUCGGAGGGGGGCUUACGUUUUCACACAAACUUUGUAUGCAGUGUAGAAUGUAUUUUUUGUUUUUGCGAUCACGCAAUCAAUACAACUUUCAACAACGGAUCUCUUGGCUCUC